CUACGGGUUGCUGCAGUGAGGAAUAUUGCGCAAUGGACGAAAGUCUGACGCAGCGAUGCCGCGUGAACGACGAAGCUUUUAGGAGUGUAAAGUUCUUUUCUGUGGGACGAGUAUCUACUUCGGUAGAGGGGACGGUACUACAGGAAUAAGCACCGGCUAACUCCGUGCCAGCAGCCGCGGUAAUACGGAGGGUGCAAGCGUUGUCCGGAUUUACUGGGCGUAAAGGGCGUGUAGGCGGAACGAUCAGUCGGAGGUGAAAUCUACGGGCUUAACCUGUAAAGUGCCUUCGAUACUGUCGUUCUUGAGUGCAGGAGGGGGUAGUGGAAUUCCCGGUGUAGCGGUGGAAUGCGCAGAUAUCGGGAGGAACACCGGUGGCGAAGGCGGCUACCUGGCCUGACACUGACGCUGAGGCGCGAAAGCGUGGGUAGCAAACAGGAUUAGAUACCCGCGUAGUC
Molecule: ribosomal RNA, 455 nt
Filed under: uncultured bacterium
Lineage: Bacteria
Description: partial 16S ribosomal RNA
Rfam family: Bacterial small subunit ribosomal RNA
Source: RNAcentral